Molecule: transfer RNA, 75 nt
Filed under: bacterium
Lineage: Bacteria
Also listed under: 2 other names
Description: tRNA-Asn
Rfam family: tRNA
About the family: Transfer RNA (tRNA) molecules are approximately 80 nucleotides in length. Their secondary structure includes four short double-helical elements and three loops (D, anti-codon, and T loops). Further hydrogen bonds mediate the characteristic L-shaped molecular structure. tRNAs have two regions of fundamental functional importance: the anti-codon, which is responsible for specific mRNA codon recognition, and the 3' end, to which the tRNAs corresponding amino acid is attached (by aminoacyl-tRNA synthetases). tRNAs cope with the degeneracy of the genetic code in two manners: having more than one tRNA (with a specific anti-codon) for a particular amino acid; and 'wobble' base-pairing, i.e. permitting non-standard base-pairing at the 3rd anti-codon position.
Source: RNAcentral
UCCGAGGUGGCGCAGCGGUAGCGCAGUUGACUGUUAAUCAAUUGGUCGUGGGUUCGAAUCCCACCCUCGGAGCCA